Molecule: long non-coding RNA, 1737 nt
Organism: Eriocheir sinensis (Chinese mitten crab)
Lineage: Eukaryota; Metazoa; Arthropoda; Malacostraca; Decapoda; Varunidae
Exons: 2
Source: RefSeq, a predicted model, not a curated record
GUGAAAAGAGGAUGGGGGUGUCUGCCAUAAGAAGAAAGAAGACUAGGCGUGAUUGUCGUCACUCAUCAAAGAGACAAGAGGAUGGGCGUGGUUAUCAUGGGUCGCUUUGGUGCUGCCUGCAUAUGAAGUGAUCCCUUGUGUCUGCCCUCACAAGAAAGGAUUCUCCUGCCACCAGAUUUUAAGAAGUGGGUGUUUUCAGUUCUCGUAGAGAAACUAGUUUAAGAUUAUUAGUUCAUUCUGUUUUGAGUGAGGUUUCUUUGUCAUAGUUGGCCAUUGGAGUUAUUAAUGAAGCUAUGUGGACUAUAAUGAUUGUGAAUAUUAAAGCAACAGCUGGAGGAGAUCUCAUCGGUGCAAGUGCUACCAAGUCAUGUGGAGUACAGGAAACAUGUCAAGCAGGAUUGUGAAGCAGUAUUUUUGUUUAUACUGCUGCCUAUAUCAGAAUAGUACUGCCUAAACAGAGUAGUAAUGAGGGGGAACAGUGGUUUGGGAACCAGUUUCCUCCAGAGUAAUCAUAGAAAUUGAAUUUGAUUUACAUGUUGCUACACCUUAAAGGAUCCUUGGGAAGUGGGGAGUGUUAAGAAAUGGUGAAUGACCGUGGCCGUGAAACUGACAACUAAGUAAUUCUGGAUGACUGUGAAGUUCGGUUAUUUGCACCCUUAUAAAAAUUGCACGAAGUGAAAGAUGGUUAUGAUGGAAACUACAAAUUUUCUCCAGAGCAACUGCAGGCAGAGCUUGGUUAUGAUGGAAACUACAAAUUUUCUCCAGAGCAACUACAGGCAGAGCUUGAUUUACAUCAGACCACUGUAACAUCAGGAAUCUUCAGGAGGAAGUGGGCCAGUUCGUGUCAGGAAAUGGUGAACGUCUGAAGCCGUGAGACUGACAACGAAGCAAUUCUGGAUAACGGCGAAGUUCGGUUACUUGCACCCUUAAUAUAUAUUUUAAAAAAAGCUGACAUAGUCUAGUAAGGUUUAAAGACAUUGAUGUAUCAACAGAACUAUACAUCAAAACUAUAGAGGAACAUUGCAAGACUAUGAUGUAUGAACAGAACUAUAGAGGAACAUUGCAAGACUAAUUGAAAUCUGGAAUGAAAUGGCAAAGGAAUCUUGCUGGGUUGCACAUGAUAGAAAUAUGCCUAAACUAAGGGUAGCACGUGUUUGAAAGACUGAUGAAUCUAUUGGAAGUCGCUCCCGUGCAGAGGCCAAGGGCUUGGAUUGGACUGAAGUGAGUCUGCCUGAGAGAUGCUCUUCAAGGUGCUGAAGUAUUACGCCGUAAGUGUGACUGGAAUGGACCAGGCUCUUCAAAGAGGUUGGCUGUCUCCCGUGGAUUGCUCCACCGGGAGAGUGGGCAUGUAUAUCUGGGUUUGCCGAGGUGCUGAAGAUGGAGACUUCUGGGGUUUAUCCUGAUGAGUUCCAGCACUCAGUUGUGAAGGGAAUUUUGCUUGAAAUGUUUUUCAAAUACAACUUUAGUAAGCAUAUCAAUUGUCUCCCAUUGCAGCCUUUCAUAUCUAAUGUUCAUCCUUGAUUUCAUUUAAGAUUGUACAACUUUAGUAAGCAUAUCAAUUGUCUCCCAUUGCAGCCUUUCAUAUCUAAUGUUCAUCCUUGAUUUCAUUUAAGAUUGUCAAUAAAGGCAAUGUGCCGAAAACUAGCUUCCUUAAAAUGUAAGAUUUAUUAAAAGUUGUAUUAAGUUUUGUACAUGCUGUAUUUUGUUAUUUCAGAAUAUAAUAAAUUGAAGUAUGGA